RNAcentral lists this ribosomal RNA (371 nucleotides) under uncultured bacterium. RNAcentral describes it as "bacterial SSU rRNA". It matches the Rfam family "Bacterial small subunit ribosomal RNA", at positions 527 to 896 of the family's 1533-position model. The record is from RNAcentral.
GAAGGGGACUAGCGUUGUUCGGAAUCACUGGGCGUAAAGCGCACGUAGGCGGAUUCGUAAGUCAGGGGUGAAAUCCCGGGGCUCAACCUCGGAACUGCCUUUGAUACUGCGGGUCUUGAGUCCGAUAGAGGUGGGUGGAAUUCCUAGUGUAGAGGUGAAAUGCGUAGAUAUCUGGAGGAACACCGGUGGCGAAGGCGGCAUCCUGGACCGACACUGACGCUGAGGAGCGAAAGCCAGGGGAGCAAACGGGAUUAGAUACCCCGGUAGUCCUGGCCCUAAACGAUGAAUGCUUGGUGUGGCGGGUAUCGAUCCCUGCCGUGCCGAAGCUAACGCAUUAAGCAUUCCGCCUGGGGAGUACGGUCGCAAGGCUG